This 396-nucleotide ribosomal RNA is filed under the name uncultured bacterium. Its description in RNAcentral is "partial 16S ribosomal RNA". It matches the Rfam family "Bacterial small subunit ribosomal RNA", at positions 523 to 918 of the family's 1533-position model. The record is from RNAcentral.
AUACGGAGGAUGCAAGCGUUAUCCGGAUUUAUUGGGUUUAAAGGGUGCGUAGGCGGAUGAUUAAGCGUGAGGUGAAAGGACGGGGCCCAACCCCGGAACUGCUUUGGAAACUGUUUGGCUGGAGUGCGGGAGGGGUAAGCGGAAUUCCUAGUGUAGCGGUGAAAUGCGUAGAUAUUAGGAGGAACACCGGUGGCGAAGGCGGCUUACUGGCCGGUAACUGACGUUGAGUCUCGAAGGCGGGGGGAGAAAACAGGAUUAGAUACCCGGGUAGUCCACGCGGUAAACGAUGAUCACUAGGUGUCCGUGGGUAUGACCCAUGGGUGCCGCAGCCAACGCAAUAAGUGAUCCACCUGGGGAGUACGUUCGCAAGAAUGAAACUCAAAUGAAUUGACGGGG